GUUUGAUCAUGGCUCAGAACGAACGCUGGCGGCGUGCCUAACACAUGCAAGUCAAGGGGAAAGUUUCUUUCGGGGAACGAGUAUACUGGCGGACGGGUGAGUAACGCGUAGGUGACCUGCCCUUGGAAUCGGGAUAACACUGCUAACGCGGUGCUAAUACCGGAUGAGGCCCUGAUGCUGCAUGGCAUUUGGGUGAAAGCGGGCUUUCGGGCUCGUGUUUGAGGAUGGACCUGCGUCCCAUUAGCUUGUUGGCGGGGUAACGGCCCACCAAGGCGACGAUGGGUAGCCGACCUGAGAGGGUGAACGGCCACACUGGGACUGAGAUACGGCCCAGACUCCUACGGGAGGCAGCAGUGAGGAAUAUUGCGCAAUGGGCGAGAGCCUGACGCAGCAACGCCGCGUGUAGGAUGAAGCUUUUCGGAGUGUAAACUACUGUUUGAAGGGAAGAACGAUCUGAUUUCGAAUAGGGAUCAGAGUUGACGGUACCUUCAGAGGAAGCCCCGGCUAACUCCGUGCCAGCAGCCGCGGUAACACGGGGGGGGCGAGCGUUGUCCGGAAUCAUUGGGCGUAAAGGGCGCGCAGGCGGGAGACUCAGUCCGGGGUGAAAUAUUGCGGCUUAACCGCAGGAUUGCCCUGGAUACUGGUUUUCUUGAGUGCGGGAGAGGGAAGCGGAAUUCCUGGUGUAGCGGUGAAAUGCGUAGAUAUCACGAAGAACACCGGUGGCGAAGGCGGCUUCCUGGCCCGUAACUGACGCUGAGGCGCGAAAGCGUGGGGAGCGAACAGGAUUAGAUACCCUGGUAGUCCACGCAGUAAACGAUGGGCACUACGUGUUGGUUGUUACAGAUCAGCGCCGGAGCUAACGCAUUAAGUGCCCCGCCUG
This 880-nucleotide ribosomal RNA is filed under the name uncultured bacterium. RNAcentral's name for it is "bacterial SSU rRNA". It matches the Rfam family "Bacterial small subunit ribosomal RNA", at positions 11 to 875 of the family's 1533-position model. The record is from RNAcentral.